RNAcentral lists this ribosomal RNA (460 nucleotides) under uncultured bacterium. RNAcentral describes it as "partial 16S ribosomal RNA". It matches the Rfam family "Bacterial small subunit ribosomal RNA", at positions 338 to 795 of the family's 1533-position model. The record is from RNAcentral.
UCUACGGGAGGCAGCAGUGAGGAAUAUUGGUCAAUGGGCGUAAGCCUGAACCAGCCAAGUCGCGUGAGGGAUGAAGGUUCUAUGGAUCGUAAACCUCUUUUAUAAGGGAGUAAAGUGUGGGACGUGUCCUAUUUUGUAUGUCCCUUAUGAAUAAGGAUCGGCUAACUCCGUGCCAGCAGCCGCGGUAAUACGGAGGAUCCGAGCGUUAUCCGGAUUUAUUGGGUUUAACGGGUGCGUAGGCGGCCUUUUAAGUCAGCGGUGAAAGUCUGUGGCUCAACCAUGGAAUUGCGGUGGAAACUGGGGGGCUUGAGUAUGUUUGAGGCAGGCGGAAUGCGUGGUGUAGCGGUGAAAUGCGUAGAUAUCACGCAGAACCCCGGUUGCGAAGGCAGCCUGCCAAGCCAUGACUGACGCUGAUGCACGAAAGCGUGGGGAUCAAACAGGAUUAGAUACCCCUGUAGUC